Molecule: ribosomal RNA, 429 nt
Filed under: Bacillota bacterium
Lineage: Bacteria; Bacillati; Bacillota
Also listed under: 2 other names
Description: Firmicutes bacterium partial 16S ribosomal RNA
Rfam family: Bacterial small subunit ribosomal RNA
Source: RNAcentral
UAGGGAAUCUUCCACAAUGGACGAAAGUCUGAUGGAGCAACGCCGCGUGAGUGAUGAAGGUUUUCGGAUCGUAAAACUCUGUUGUAAGGGAAGAACACGUACGAGAGGUAAUGCUCGUACCUUGACGGUACCUUACGAGAAAGCCACGGCUAACUACGUGCCAGCAGCCGCGGUAAUACGUAGGUGGCAAGCGUUGUCCGGAAUUAUUGGGCGUAAAGCGCGCGCAGGCGGCCUUUUAAGUCUGAUGUGAAAGCCCCCGGCUCAACCGGGGAGGGCCAUUGGAAACUGGAAGGCUUGAGUACAGAAGAGAAGAGUGGAAUUCCACGUGUAGCGGUGAAAUGCGUAGAGAUGUGGAGGAACACCAGUGGCGAAGGCGACUCUUUGGUCUGUAACUGACGCUGAGGCGCGAAAGCGUGGGGAGCAAACAGG